Molecule: ribosomal RNA, 230 nt
Filed under: uncultured bacterium
Lineage: Bacteria
Description: partial 16S ribosomal RNA
Rfam family: Bacterial small subunit ribosomal RNA
Source: RNAcentral
CGGGGUGGAGUAAUGUCUGGGAAACUGCCUGAUGGAGGGGGAUAACUGCUGGAAACGGUAGCUAAUACCGCAUAACGUCGCAAGACCAAAGAGGGGGACCUUCGGGCCUCUUGCCAUCGGAUGUGCCUAGAUGGGAUUAGCUAGUAGGUGGGGUAACGGCUCACCUAGGCGACGAUCCCUAGCUGGUCUGAGAGGAUGACCAGCCACACUGGAACUGAGACACGGUCCAG